AUGGGGCAUAUGCCCCCCUCCCCUAUAUUUGCACCAUAUAAUCAAUAUGGAUGUGCUCGAGCCGCAGCUACACCGGAGGCCUCGUCAGACACGGUGCUAGGUUUGGAGCGUACCCUGCCGCUCACCGGCGUACAGCUCGAACAACUCAAGAUUUUGGACAGGGAGCCCAUGUCAAUGAAGACAAAUGUCGCGGAGUACUCGCUGGGAGGAACGCCCGUCAAGCUAGAAGAAAUUUUACACAUAUGGAGUGCACAGCUCUACUGUACCCGUGUGAAAUUGGGAACACCACCAAAAGAGUACACUCUCCAUUUUGACACUGGCAGCGACCUUGUGUGGGUUUCUUGCACCCCAUGCACAACGUGCGGCAGUAUCCUUAUCAAAUUGGAGAACUACAACCCAGAUUCUUCUUCAACGUCGUCUAGGAUAUCAUGCUCUGAUAAAAUGUGUGCACAUGCCCCAAAAAUAGGGUAUGCAACAUAUGCUGAUGGAAGUGCCGAGUCAGGGUACUACGUGUCGGACACUUUAUAUUUCGACAAAUUCGUGGGUCAAAAGCGGGUUACAAGUUCUGCAUCUAUAUUUUUUGGAUGUAGCAACUCGCAAUCAUAUCAGUUUCAGACAGAUGGGAUUAUUGGAUUUGGACAGAAUGCGAUCUCUGCUAUCUCACAACUGAAUUCUCAAGGGGUGUCCAGUAAGGUGUUCUCUCAUUGCCUCAGGGGUUUAAAAGAUGGUUCAAAAGAUGGUGGUGGCAUUCUUGUUGUUGGUGAAGUUAUGUGGACAGGACUUGUGUUUACUCUGAUACUCCCAUCAGAGGACCAUUACAACGUGAAUAUGAAGGGCAUUGCUGUCAAUGGUAAAAACAUUUCCCUUGAUUCUUCCUGGCUUACAACAUCAAAUGCACAAGGAACCAUUGUGGAUUCAGGAACAACAUUAGUGUACCUUGCAGAUGGAGUGUAUGAUCCGGUUAUUACAGCGAUAAAUGACGCCGCCCAUACUGGUUCUAUAAACUCUUUCAUCAUGAAUGGGAGCCAAUGUUAUCAUAAAAACAUAAGCAAUGUGUCAUUAUUUCCAACAGUGACACUAUAUUUUGACGGCGGUGCUUCAAUGACAACUGGGCCAAAGGACUAUCUUGUGCCCAUGUUUCAUUAUGACGGUUUGCAGGACAAGGAUCCCAUGUUGUGCAUUGGCUUUCAACCAAGCAAAGGCCCCGAUAAUUUCUUCCAACAUACCACCAUACUUGGAGAUAUUGUUUUACGUGAUAUGAUUUUUAUGUAUAACUUGGAGACUAAGCAGAUUGGCUUGUCAUCAUCCUCUUCUUCUCCUUCGUUGUCUUCCAUCAUAACUCCUCUUUCUCCGUGCUUGGUCCAAACAUUAUAG
Molecule: ribosomal RNA, 1374 nt
Filed under: Triticum aestivum (bread wheat)
Lineage: Eukaryota; Viridiplantae; Streptophyta; Magnoliopsida; Poales; Poaceae
Description: partial small subunit ribosomal RNA
Source: RNAcentral